GUGGAAUCUGACUGACUGACCACAGCAUCCUUCAUCUCACAGUGAUGGUCUACAUGAGGCUGUGGCAGUGGAUGUAAGCUUUGUUUAUAUGGUGCCUGGUGAGAGCUGAGCUUGCUUUGAGAUCAAAGGAUGAAGAACACUUCACUGAAAGUCUAGUGUAAUGGUUAACACAUUUAUCUAUUAAAGAAGAACCACUGGGUGAUGUGUGACAGUGGUAAAGUCUCUGCAGCUACUGAAAUCCACCUAACAGGUGUCAACAGACACUGGGAAUUUCUUCUGCCAAGAGAAGAGCCUUCUUUCACAGCAACAGCUAUUGUUAAAAAUGAAGAACAGCAAGAAAACUGCAACCUACACACAACCCCCUGAAGAGAUCAAGGAACAGAAAGCACUUUUAUCUUCUUCCCUCUCAUCUGCCACAGGCAGCAGUGCUCACCUCUGGAGCUGGGAAAGGAGUUGUUCAGCUGCUCCAUCACUUCCUCCAAACCUGUGCUUGUGUCCUGGGGAGGGCUGAGCAACUCAUCCUCACCUGGAAAGCAAAUCCACACCACUGUAUAAGAGCCUCUGUAACACCAUUUGCUAACAGCUUGCUGCUGCAUAUGUCCUUCAUGAAGCUAAGGCUGUUCACUUGAACACAUUUUCUGCUUAGAAUGCAGUCAAAAUUUUAAA
Melopsittacus undulatus (budgerigar) is the source of this 666-nucleotide long non-coding RNA. RefSeq lists it as uncharacterized. The record is from RefSeq and is a predicted model, not a curated record. NCBI's taxonomy places the organism in Eukaryota, Metazoa, Chordata, Aves, Psittaciformes, Psittaculidae. The transcript is spliced from 3 exons.